UAGACGCUGAGAGAGGAGCUUGCUCUUCUUGGAUGAGUUGCGAACGGGUGAGUAACGCGUAGGUAACCUGCCUUGUAGCGGGGGAUAACUAUUGGAAACGAUAGCUAAUACCGCAUAACAAUGGAUGACACAUGUCAUUUAUUUGAAAGGGGCAAUUGCUCCACUACAAGAUGGACCUGCGUUGUAUUAGCUAGUAGGUGAGGUAACGGCUCACCUAGGCGACGAUACAUAGCCGACCUGAGAGGGUGAUCGGCCACACUGGGACUGAGACACGGCCCAGACUCCUACGGGAGGCAGCAGUAGGGAAUCUUCGGCAAUGGGGGCAACCCUGACCGAGCAACGCCGCGUGAGUGAAGAAGGUUUUCGGAUCGUAAAGCUCUGUUGUAAGUCAAGAACGAGUGUGAGAGUGRAAAGUUCACACUGUGACGGUAGCUUACCAGAAAGGGACGGCUAACUACGUGCCAGCAGCCGCGGUAAUACGUAGGUCCCGAGCGUUGUCCGGAUUUAUUGGGCGUAAAGCGAGCGCAGGCGGUUUGAUAAGUCUGAAGUUAAAGGCUGUGGCUCAACCAUAGUUCGCUUUGGAAACUGUCAAACUUGAGUGCAGAAGGGGAGAGUGGAAUUCCAUGUGUAGCGGUGAAAUGCGUAGAUAUAUGGAGGAACACCGGUGGCGAAAGCGGCUCUCUGGUCUGUAACUGACGCUG
This 701-nucleotide ribosomal RNA is filed under the name Streptococcus salivarius. Its description in RNAcentral is "bacterial SSU rRNA". Lineage: Bacteria; Bacillati; Bacillota; Bacilli; Lactobacillales; Streptococcaceae. The record is from RNAcentral.